This 494-nucleotide ribosomal RNA is filed under the name uncultured bacterium. RNAcentral describes it as "partial 16S ribosomal RNA". It matches the Rfam family "Bacterial small subunit ribosomal RNA", at positions 28 to 507 of the family's 1533-position model. The record is from RNAcentral.
GAUGAACGCUGGCGGCGUGCCUAAUACAUGCAAGUAGAACGCUGAAGGAGGAGCUUGCUUCUCUGGAUGAGUUGCGAACGGGUGAGUAACGCGUAGGUAACCUGCCCGGUAGCGGGGGAUAACUAUUGGAAACGAUAGCUAAUACCGCAUAAGAGAAGAUGUUCCAUGACAUUUGCUUAAAAGGUGCAAUUGUGUCACUACUAGAUGGAGCGGCGUGGUAUUAGUUAGUUGGUGGGUUAAUGGCCUACCAAGGCGACGAUGCGUCGCGGACCGGGGAGGGGGAUCGGCCACCUUGGAACUGGAAACCGGCCAGGCUCCUUACGGGAGGAAGCAUAGGGGAAUUUUGGCCAAUGGGCGAAAGCCUGACGGACAAAGGCGGGGUGGUGGAGGAAGGUCUCCGGUUGUUAAACCCCGUUUUUUGGGAAAGACGAGUGGGAGAAUGAAACGUUCACACUGUGACGGUAUCUUACCAGAAAGCAACGGCUAACUACGUG